UCUCCGUAGGUGAACCUGCGGAGGGAUCAUUACUGAGUGAGGGCUUCGGUCCGACCUCCAACCCUUUUGUGAACCACCUCGUUGCUUCGGGGGCGACCCUGCCGCUUCGGCGGUGCGGCGCCCCCGGAGGCCAUUAAACACUGCAUCAUUGCGUCGGAGUUAAAGUAAAUUAAACAAAACUUGCGACAGCGGAUCUCGUGGUUCCAGCAUCGAUGAAGAACGCAGC
RNAcentral lists this unclassified non-coding RNA (226 nucleotides) under uncultured fungus. RNAcentral describes it as "sequence contains ITS1, 5.8S rRNA gene". Lineage: Eukaryota; Fungi. The record is from RNAcentral.